UACGUAGGGACCAAGCGUUGUCCGGAAUCAUUGGGCGUAAAGAGCGUGUAGGCGGCUUGUUAAGUCUUGCGUGAAAUCUCGGGGCUCAACCCCGAGCGGUCGUGAGAAACUGGCAGGCUAGAGUGCGGGAGAGGAGAGUGGAAUUCCUGGUGUAGCGGUGAAAUGCGCAGAUAUCAGGAAGAACACCCGUGGCGAAGGCGGCUCUCUGGAACGCAACUGACGCUGAGACGCGAAAAGCGUGGGGGAGCAAACAGG
Molecule: ribosomal RNA, 255 nt
Filed under: uncultured bacterium
Lineage: Bacteria
Description: partial 16S ribosomal RNA
Rfam family: Bacterial small subunit ribosomal RNA
Source: RNAcentral